AUCCAGCCGACGAGUCCCAAAUAGGACAAUACACGCGUCCUGGAA
Molecule: non-coding RNA, 45 nt
Organism: Schistosoma curassoni
Lineage: Eukaryota; Metazoa; Platyhelminthes; Trematoda; Strigeidida; Schistosomatidae
Source: Rfam